This 351-nucleotide ribosomal RNA is filed under the name uncultured bacterium. RNAcentral describes it as "bacterial SSU rRNA". It matches the Rfam family "Bacterial small subunit ribosomal RNA", at positions 917 to 1271 of the family's 1533-position model. The record is from RNAcentral.
GGGCCCGCACAAGCGGUGGAGCAUGUGGUUUAAUUCGAUGAUACGCGAGGAACCUUACCAGGGCUUAAAUGUAAGUUGCAUAGAUCAGAGAUGGUCUUUUCUUCGGACUACUUACAAGGUGCUGCAUGGUUGUCGUCAGCUCGUGCCGUGAGGUGUCAGGUUAAGUCCUAUAACGAGCGCAACCCCUGUCGUUAGUUGCCAGCAAGUUAAGUUGGGCACUCUAGCGAGACUGCCAGUGCAAACUGUGAGGAAGGUGGGGAUGACGUCAAAUCAUCACGGCCCUUACGUCCUGGGCUACACACGUGCUACAAUGGCCGGUACAGAGGGAAGCCACCCCGCGAGGGGAGCGGA